This 74-nucleotide transfer RNA is filed under the name Halobacillus yeomjeoni. RNAcentral describes it as "tRNA-Ala". It matches the Rfam family "tRNA". Rfam says of the family: Transfer RNA (tRNA) molecules are approximately 80 nucleotides in length. Their secondary structure includes four short double-helical elements and three loops (D, anti-codon, and T loops). The record is from RNAcentral. Lineage: Bacteria; Bacillati; Bacillota; Bacilli; Caryophanales; Bacillaceae.
GGGGCAUUAGCUCAGUUAGGGAGAGCGCUACACUGGCAGUGUAGAGGUCAGCGGUUCGAGCCCGCUAUGCUCCA